Long non-coding RNA from Homo sapiens (human), 3921 nucleotides. The record is from Ensembl. NCBI's taxonomy places the organism in Eukaryota, Metazoa, Chordata, Mammalia, Primates, Hominidae.
GGGCAUACCGGCUUCGCUUGGCGCGGCUUGGCUGGUUGGCUUCGCUUGUUACUGGCUCUGACUUUGGAAACUGCGAAGUUUCCUGGUUGGAGGUGGUGGCUGACCAGAGUGGCUUGGUCUUACUGGGCCUCUGAGGCUGUGAUAGGCGGACUGGUGCUGAGGUGUCUCUGAUAGCCUCCGCCAUGAGGAGGAGCUCUGGCUUCGGGGGCCAGAAGGGCCAGGGGCCCUCCUGCUCCUUCACCGGCUGUUGGUGUUGCAGGGGGGACGAUGUCGCCGAGAGCGAUGACAGCCCCUUCGCCCAGUGCGGGUACAAUAUCCAAGAGAAACACCUCGGCAAGCUCCACAGAGCUGCCAGCCGGGGUGAAGUCUCCAAGGUGGAGUGCAUCCUUUCGAGCGGGAGCGCUGACUUGGAUGAGAGAGACAAGAAGAAAAGGACUGCUCUGCAUUUGGCCUGUGCCAACGGCCAUCCAGAAGUGGUAGCUCUUCUGGUGGACAGAGGAUGUCAACUUGAUGUCUUUGACAACAAAAACAGGACUGCUCUGCUAAAGGCGGUACAAUGCCAGGAAGAGGAAUGUGCGACUAUUUUGCUAGAACACGGAGCCGACCCAGACCUUCCAGAUGUCUAUGGCAAUACUACCUUACACUAUGCCAUCUACAAUGAGGAUAUCCCAAUGACAAAAAAACUGCUUUUACACCAUGCCAAUAUUGAAUCAGCAAACAAGGAUGAACUCACACCAUUUUUGCUAGCUGUACAUGAACAAAAACAGCAAAUGGAAGACUUUUUAAGAAAGCAAAAAGAAAAUUUAACUGCAGUUAAGCUUGAAAGCAUUCACCAAGUAAUGUCUGAAUACAAAGAAAAUGAGACACCUAGAAAUCCUCAAAAUAGCAAUCCAGAAGGAACAUCUAACAAGAUGGCGUGCUUGGGAGAAGGAGCAGCAGGUGCAAAAGUGGAUGAGAUUCCUGGAAAUCCUGUAAAAAGGCUUUUCAACAAACCAUCUAUUGACGACUCACGACCUAUGUCAGCUAAUGAAGACUUUGAUUUUGAUACUGAGGAGAAAGCAACAGAGCCAGCAAAUGGAAAAAGACAAAAUGGUAUGGGUAUUAUUGAGAGUGCUCCACAAGAGCACACAAAUAAUGAAAACAUUUAAUUUUGAUUCAGAAAUGUUCGAGGUGGUAAGUUAGUGAAUAUCUCUGAAAAACAGUGUAUAUUAAGUAUUUUCAGUAGAAAAACCACUGAACUAUAUAGAUCCAAACAUAAUAUUCAUUUCUUUUCCACAAUUUUUUUCUGUCUUUCUUUAUACUACCAACUUUUUCCUAAAACUACUUCAAUUCCUCAAUUCCCUGAAAUUCUUUUUCUUUUUCUUUUUGUUAUUACUUUUGUUUCACUGAAAUAUUUAUGGGUGAAGACAAACCUGUAUAGGUAUAUAAAAUUCAUAGUGAUAAAUUUUCUCAUGAAUGUAUCUGUGUAUAACAUUUUAUAGAUAUGCCAUUCACAGUAAAAUCAGGACAAAAGGAAGACAUGCAAUCACAUUUGGACAGCAAGCAGAACAAGUCUUAGCAGUGAUAUCAGAGGAAGAGCAAGAAAGACUUGAAGAAAGUGAAAACAACGAGCUACAAAUUUCUCAUGGGCAUAAGAAAGAAAAAGAUCUGUUGCAUAAAAAUUGCAUGUUGCAGGAAGAAAUUGCAAGGCUAAGACUGGAAAUAGAUGCACUGAAAAAUUGGAACCAGCAAAAGGAAAAGAAUUUUCUUGAGGACAUUAAAAUUGCGAAAGAAAAGAAUGAUUUCCUUCAAAAUGCUUUGAUGCUGAAAGAGGAAACAUUUGCAACAAUGAUAUUCCAGGACAGUAUACAGCCUGAAGUUUUGAAAGCUGAGAAUGAAAUGUCCAGUUUUAAAUUGAAGGAUAAAAGCCAAAACCAGGAGAGACUGGAAAGAGAAAUUGAAUCAUAUCGUUGUAGACUGGCUGCUGCUCUACAAGACCGUGAUCAAAGUCAGGCAUCAAAAAGAGAUGUAGAAUGUGAUUUCCAGAGGACAAGAGAAGAGUGGUUUCAUUUAAAGGAAAAAAUGAAUUUUGAUAUGAGUAACCUAAAAGAUAAGAAUGAGCUGCUUUCUGAAAAACUUUCUAAUGCUGAAAAUAAAAUCAGAAGCCUCAAAAUGAAGUGGCACCAGACAAAAGAUGCUCUAAAGGAAAAGACAUUGGUUUUAGAAGAUGUCCAAAGAGACCUAACCCAAUCACAAUGUCGGAGGAAAGAAAUUGAACAAAUGUUUCAGAAUGAAGAAGACAAAGUGAGUAAAUACAUUCAAAAGCAAGAAUCUCUAGAGGAGAGAUUAUCUCAAAUACAAAACGAAAAUCUGUUACUUCGACAGCAACUGGAUGAGGCUUACAAGAAAGCCGACAAUCAAGAAGAGACAAUAAUUAAUAUCCAAGAGCAAUUUAAUGCUAUUGUCAAAAAUCAAGCUCAGAGUGAAGAGCAAAGUCUUCUACUAGAGCAGAAAAACAACAACUUGAUCAAUAAAUGCGAUUUCAUAAAAAAAAGAUUGUAUAAAUAUGAAAAAGAGAAAGCAGAAAGAAAUGAAAUUAUGAGACAACUUCAACAAGAACUGGCUGAUACUGUAAAAAAACAACCUAUAUCAGAGCCUCCACUAGAGGCUACACCAUGUUAUGUUAAUUUAGAUGAAACACAGGCCUCAAAGAGGAAAUCAGAUCAAAUCAGAAGUCAAGCUGAUCUUACAGAAGCAGUGGAAACUGCAUCUUCAGAAGGUCUACAUGUGAAUGCAGAGAUUGAAGUUCUUCAACAGGCAUUAUUAUAUAUGAAAACAAUGCAAGAGAAACGUGAAACACUACAGAAGGAUCAGGAGAAGUUGGAAGAAGAACUAGUAAACCUCAAAAGUCACAUGGAAAUGAAUAUGUUAGAAUGUGGUCAAUUGGAACACUAUAAACAGGAGGUAGAAGAAAGAGCAAGGCAGGAGAUAGCAGAACAAUUAGAAAACAUUGGUCUACUUUUACAGUCACAGAAAAUAGCUCAUGACCAGUUACAGUUAAAAGAGGAAAGCAAUGCUACUAUGAAAAGUCAGAUGGAACUUAGAAUUAAAGAUCUGGAAUUCAAACUCUACAAAGCAAGAACUUCACAAGCGGACUGUAAUACAACAGAAUUGGAAAAAUAUAAGGAGCUGUAUCUAGAAGAAUUAAAACUUAGAGAAUCUUUGUCAGAUGAACUAAACAAGCGUAAAGAAAUUCUAGCAGAUGUCAGUACCAAACUUCUUCAAGAAAAAGAGUGGAGCAGAUCUUUAUUUACUUCUCAUACUACAAGGCCAGUCCUAGAGUCAGCAUGCAAUGGAAAUCUUAAUGAAAAUUUAGGUCUCAGCAGAAUACAUAUUCCAAGAGAAGCCUUAAGAAUUCCUACCUUAAACUCAUUGUCUUCAAAUAUCAGAAUGGAGAGCGACUUGUCAAAGGAAGACAAGAAUGGAGGACACUUUCUGGAACUCCAGGCUUGACAACAUCUCUCGGUGUUGUGACUCGCAUCCUGUUGUGAGCAGUUAUGGUGCCAGGGAUCACCAGGUGGGUCCACUAUUCCAAGGUAAAGCUGUAUGACUCAUCUCUGGCAGAGGAAGUCGUAAAGGUCCCACUGGACACCUGGACCACUGAGCCCCUCCAGGGUCUCAAACUCCUCUUCAAGCAAAGCCAAAAGAAUAAAGAUAAGUAAAUUAGUAAUGCUUUGGAUUGUUAUACCAUGAAUCGUAAUACUCCUUGCAGGUUUACUAAUAUGUCUUUGCUACUGUGAACCAAUACCACCCCCCACCCACUGCCAGGAAAAGGUCUGUUCUUCCCUACCUGGAUUUAAAUCUCAAAGCAAUAAUCUGGGUGGUGUUCUCUCUAAUACUCACUGAGUUAACAAGUUCUUUUUCCAUAAUCAACAGACAUCU